CCCUUAGAUGUUCUGGGCCGCACGCGCGCUACACUGACGAAUGCAACGAGCUUAUAACCUUGGCCGACAGGCCCGGGCAAUCUUUGAACGCUGGUCGUGAUGGGGAUAGACUUUUGCAAUUUUUGGUCUUCAACGAGGAAUUCCUAGUAAACGCAAGUCAUCAACUUGCAUUGAUUACGUCCCUGCCCUUUGUACACACCGCCCGUCGCACCUACCGAUUGAAUGGUCCGGUGAAGCCUCCGGAUUGGCGCGCACCUCGGUGCCGCCGAGAAGUUGGCUAAACCUUACCAUUUAGAGGAAGGUGAAGUCGUAACA
RNAcentral lists this ribosomal RNA (315 nucleotides) under uncultured eukaryote. RNAcentral's name for it is "partial 18S ribosomal RNA". It matches the Rfam family "Eukaryotic small subunit ribosomal RNA", at positions 1470 to 1796 of the family's 1831-position model. The record is from RNAcentral.